Molecule: ribosomal RNA, 1646 nt
Filed under: uncultured Glomus
Lineage: Eukaryota; Fungi; Glomeromycota; Glomeromycetes; Glomerales; Glomeraceae
Description: eukaryotic LSU rRNA
Rfam family: Eukaryotic large subunit ribosomal RNA (bases 800-1646)
Source: RNAcentral
UCGCUCUUCAACGAGGAAUCCCUAGUAAGCACAAGUCAUCAGCUUGUGUUGAUUACGUCCCUGCCCUUUGUACACACCGCCCGUCGCUACUACCGAUUGAAUGGCUUAGUGAGACCUUCGGAUUGGCAUUAAGCAGCCGGCAACGGCAGUUUUUUGCUGAGAAGCUGGACAAACUUGGUCAUUUAGAGGAAGUAAAAGUCGUAACAAGGUUUCCGUAGGUGAACCUGCGGAAGGAUCAUCAUUAAAUCCAUUUAUACACCCUUGUGAACUGUGCGCUGAAGUUGCUACGCUCGUCGUGCAUCAUUCUUUGCAAAAACUACUUGAUUUAAAAAAGCUGAAGCAAUUAUAUUAAAUAAAACAACUUUCAACAAUGGAUCUCUUGGCUCUCGCAUCGAUGAAGAACGCAGCGAAUUGCGAAAAGUAAUGUGAAUUGCAGAAUUCCGUGAAUCAUCGAAUCUUUGAACGCAUAUUGCACUCUCUGGCUCUCCAGAGAGUAUGCCUGUUUGAGUAUCAGUUUAAAUCUCUCACCCCCCAUUGGGGAUGAGGAAUUGAGUAAUCCGCCGGCGCUGAAUUGUUUACCCGAUUUGGUGAUUUAACGCGGUUGCUUGAAAUGUAUAGCUAAGCGGUAUUGACCACUGCUUAAGAUGACUAGGCGUAUUAGUUUCCCAUUUGGGAAUCCACUCGUGCGCCGGUGUAUUGGUCUCUAAAGCCUUUGAGUUGGUUGAUCGCUAUGCUUUCCUAAAUGUUCUUCGGAUCAUUUACUUAGUUUGGCUUGCGGUUAGCAUACUGAACUUGAUCUUGAUCUCAAAUCAGGCAAGACUACCCGCUGAAUUUAAGCAUAUUAAUAAGCGGAGGAAAAGAAACUAACAAGGAUUCCCCUAGUAACGGCGAGUGAAGCGGGAAGAGCUCAUCUUUAAAAUCUUAGUGGCUUGCCACUACGAAUUGUAGUAUGAAGAAGCGUUUUCGGUGACGGCGCUGGCUCAAGUCUCCUGGAAUGGAGCGUCAGAGAGGGUGACAAUCCCGUUCAUGUUUAAUUCUCAGGUGCUUUAUGAUACGUUUUCGAAGAGUCGAGUUGUUUGGGAUUGCAGCUCAAAAUGGGAGGUAAAUUUCUCCUAAAGCUAAAUAUUGGCGAGAGACCGAUAGCGAACAAGUACCGUGAGGGAAAGAUGAAAAGAACUUUGAAAAGAGAGUUAAAUAGUACGUGAAAUUGUUGAAAGGGAAACGAUUGAAGUCAGUCGUACCAACGGGAAAUCAACCUUUCGAGCGGGGUUUUUGAGGUUUCAAAGAGUUUCAAAGCCUUUGGGAUUUUAAAAUUUCUUCUCUGCUGGUGUACUUUCUCGUAGGUAGGUCAACAUCGAUUUUGAACAUCAUAAAAAGACUGGAGGAAUGUAGCUUCGAUCUCGUAUUGAAGUGUUAUAGACUUUGGUAAAUGUGAUGAUCAAGAUCGAGGAUUGCAACGAAUAUCCUUUUGGGCUAUUCGUCUGAUCUCUGAUCGUUGCCUUGGUAUCGAAAGCUUGCUUAUGAUAUUAAGGUAUUACGGUCAAAAGGUUAGAACGGAUUACAUUCGUUAAGGAUGUUGACGUAAUGGCUUUAAACGACCCGUCUUGAAACACGGACCAAGGAGUCUAACAUAUGUGCGAGUGUUU